UUUUUAUUUUUGAGAUGGAGUUUUGCUCUUGUCAUCCAGGCUGGAGUGCAAUGGCGCGAUCUCGGCUCACUGCAACCUCCGCUUCCCAAGUUCAAGCAAUUCUCCUGCCUCAGCCUCCCGAGUAACUGGGAUUACGGGCACGUGCCACCACACCCAGCUAAUUUUUUGUAUUUUUAGUAGAAACAGGGUUUCGCCAUGUUGGCCAGGCUGGCCUCAAACUCCUGACCUCAGGUGAUCCACCCGCCUCGGCC
RNAcentral lists this long non-coding RNA (251 nucleotides) under Homo sapiens (human). RNAcentral describes it as "HSALNT0104700". The record is from RNAcentral. Lineage: Eukaryota; Metazoa; Chordata; Mammalia; Primates; Hominidae.